Molecule: ribosomal RNA, 276 nt
Filed under: uncultured bacterium
Lineage: Bacteria
Description: partial 16S ribosomal RNA
Rfam family: Bacterial small subunit ribosomal RNA
Source: RNAcentral
GAUGAACGCUAGCGGCAGGCCUAAUACAUGCAAGCCGAACGGUAAGAUUUGUAGCAAUACGAGUCCUAGAGUGGCGUAAGGGUGCGUAACACGUAUGCAAUCUGCCCGCAACUGGAGGAUAGCUCGGGGAAACCCGGAUUAACCCUCCAUAAGAUCACACAAUGGCAUCAAAGAGUGAUUAAAUCUCCGGAGGUUGCGGAUGAGCAUGCGGUUGAUUAGCUAGUUGGUAGUGUAACGGACUACCAAGGCAAUGAUCAAUAGGGGAACUGAGAGGUU